This 495-nucleotide ribosomal RNA is filed under the name uncultured bacterium. Its description in RNAcentral is "partial 16S ribosomal RNA". It matches the Rfam family "Bacterial small subunit ribosomal RNA", at positions 28 to 507 of the family's 1533-position model. The record is from RNAcentral.
GACGAACGCUGGCGGCGUGCCUAAUACAUGCAAGUAGAACGCUGAAGGAGGAGCUUGCUUCUCUGGAUGAGUUGCGAACGGGUGAGUAACGCAUAGGUAACCUGCCUGGUAGCGGGGGAUAACUAUUGGAAACGAUAGCUAAUACCGCAUAAUAUUGACUAUUGCAUGAUAGUCAGUUGAAAGGUGCAGCUGCACCACUACCAGAUGGACCUGCGUUGUAUUAGCUAGUUGGUGGGGUAACGGCUCACCAAGGCGACGAUACAUAGCCGACCUGAGAGGGUGAUCGGCCACACUGGGACUGAGACACGGCCCAGACUCCUACGGGAGGCAGCAGUAGGGAAUCUUCGGCAAUGGACGGAAGUCUGACCGAGCAACGCCGCGUGAGUGAAGAAGGUUUUCGGAUCGUAAAGCUCUGUUGUAAGAGAAGAACGAGUGUGAGAGUGGAAAGCUCACACUGUGACGGUAUCUUACCAGAAAGGGACGGCUAACUACGUG